UACGGAGGGUGCAAGCGUUGUUCGGAAUCACUGGGCGUAAAGCGCACGUAGGCGGCCCAGCAAGUCGGGUGUGAAAGCCCUCGGCUUAACCGAGGAAGUGCAUUCGAAACUACUGAGCUUGAAUACUGGAGAGGAUCGCGGAAUUCCCGGUGUAGAGGUGAAAUUCGUAGAUAUCGGGAGGAACACCAGUGGCGAAGGCGGCGAUCUGGACAGAUAUUGACGCUGAGGUGCGAAAGCGUGGGGAGCAAACAGG
This 253-nucleotide ribosomal RNA is filed under the name uncultured bacterium. RNAcentral's name for it is "partial 16S ribosomal RNA". It matches the Rfam family "Bacterial small subunit ribosomal RNA", at positions 524 to 776 of the family's 1533-position model. The record is from RNAcentral.